This 423-nucleotide ribosomal RNA is filed under the name uncultured bacterium. RNAcentral's name for it is "partial 16S ribosomal RNA". It matches the Rfam family "Bacterial small subunit ribosomal RNA", at positions 359 to 774 of the family's 1533-position model. The record is from RNAcentral.
GAAUAUUGGACAAUGGGCGAAAGCCUGAUCCAGCCAUGCCGCGUGUGUGAAGAAGGUCUUCGGUUUGUAAAGCAAUCUAAGUUGGGGGGAAGGGCAGUAAGCGAAUGCCUUGCUGUUUUGACGUUACCGACAGAAUAAGCACCGGUUAACUCUGUGCCAGCAGCCCCGGUAAUACAGAGGGCGCAAGCGUUACUCGGAAUUACUGGGCGUAAAGCGCGCGUAGGUGGUUCGUUAAGUUGGAUGUGAAAUCCCCGGGCUCAACCUGGGAACUGCAUCCAAAACUGGCGAGCUAGAGUAGGGCAGAGGGUGGUGGAAUUUCCUGUGUGGCGGUGAAAUGCGUAGAUAUAGGAAGGAACACCAGUGGCGAAGGCGACCACCUGGGCUCAUACUGACACUGAGGUGCGAAAGCGUGGGGAGCAAACA